GGUUUGGGUAGCCUUUUUGUAUGUUACGGCAGUGCUCUGCUAGUCUAGUUUUUAGGCAGCGAGAGGUCAUACCCACAUAUUGCAAGCCACAUGGAAAUUAAAGUAAAUAAAUAACAUUUUUUGUGUUGCAAGUAACAAUGUCUUUUAUAGGACAGGAUAUUUUUGUGUUGUGGGAUGUAAAAUGGGUGUUUUUUGUCUUUAUAUUAUGAUCUGUGGAUUUACACACUAUACAGGUAUUACAUUUAAAAAAGCCUUUAGAAUUAGAUAAAAGGGUUG
Non-coding RNA from Pelobates cultripes (western spadefoot toad), 276 nucleotides. The record is from the annotation of a GenBank genome assembly. NCBI's taxonomy places the organism in Eukaryota, Metazoa, Chordata, Amphibia, Anura, Pelobatidae.